UCGAGAAUCUUUAGCAAUGGGCGAAAGCCUGACUAUGCGACGCCGCGUGAGGGAUGAAGGAUUUCGGUUCGUAAACCUCUUUUGGCAGGGAAGAAAAUGUUGCAGUUAAUAGCUGCAAAACUGACGGUACCUGCAGAAUAAGCCACGGCUAACUCCGUGCCAGCAGCCGCGGUAAUACGGAGGUGGCUAGCGUUACUCGGAAUUAUUGGGUGUAAAGGGCAAGUAGGCGGCUUGGUAAGUAGGGGGUGAAAUACUCCGGCUCAAUCGGAGAACUGCCUUCUAAACUGCCAGGCUUGAGUGUGACAGAGGAAAAUGGAAUUCUCGGUGUAAGGGUGAAAUCUGUAGAUAUCGAGAAGAACACCAGCGGCGAAGGCGAUUUUCUGGGUCACUACUGACGCUAAAUUGCGAAAGCUAGGGGAGCAAACAGAAUUAGAUACCCCUGUAGUCC
RNAcentral lists this ribosomal RNA (448 nucleotides) under uncultured bacterium. RNAcentral describes it as "bacterial SSU rRNA". It matches the Rfam family "Bacterial small subunit ribosomal RNA", at positions 355 to 796 of the family's 1533-position model. The record is from RNAcentral.